GCAGGUGGAGGGGCUCCAGCCCAGGCAGCAGCCAGGGAUCCAGAUUAGAAAAGACCAGAGCUAGGGGGUGACUCGGGCAGGGUUGGUGCAAAGAGAAGGGUGGAAAAUCACUCCAUGCUGGUAAUGGUCAAAGUGCUGAGUAGAGCUCGGCACCCGGCCGGGGAUCCUGGGGGGCCUGCAGGACCUGCUGCCACAAUAGCAGGCGCCAGGUAAAAAUUCAAGACACAGAAUGUGGGAGUAGACGUGGGAUGGGAGCAGGAUUACAGGACGAGUCCCCUGCAGGGCUGUACAGCUGAGCGAGGCGGUGAAGAGCCAUGUUAAUCCCUUGAAAAAUAGCUGGAUGUAUUAGGAAAAGCCUUGGGAAAUCUACCAAGAGCUGGAAGGUUACAGGGCGUUGCUGUGCUGGUGUCGUGUGUUGCUAAAGAACAGCCUGAAAAAGGCCUUAAUGCUAAAAUUCUAGGGACAAUAAAAGCAGGCUGCCAGCCACCCAAAUGUAGGCUGCAAACAAGUAGGGGAAUAUAUGGGGUCCCCUUGGAAAUGACUGGAAAUAGAGCAGGUAGAGGUGGGGACCCAGGGCAAGUCAUGUGAAUAAUUAGUGGGAGGGACGUGAGAGCAAACCGUCCACAGCUGUGCAAAUUGCAUUUAGAAGAAGGGCUUUAUUUGCCAGGGUUACACUAGGCUAGGCGAUGUUUUGGAUGAAACCGUAUAUUCUGUUCCCCUUUGAGCUGUUAUAAGUGCUGAAAGUCUGGAAACAUGGCAAAUGCAAAGCUGGUGGGAAGAUGCGGAAUGAGCAGCACGUCAGAGUGGUGAAUUCAAUUCAAAGGGAGGGACCUGGCCGGCUGCGUGUCAGCUUUAAACACUCGUUAAGACACAAGUUGGGCUUGGAGAUGUCUAAGAGGAGUAUUCGUAACAGCGCUUUCACCUGGGGACCCGUAAAUCUCUCCAGCGGCUGCCCUCUGACUUGCUUCGGCGCAAGGUGAAACAUUUCCAGCUUAUGCAGCCUCUCCUUGAAAGUCAAUCCUGACUCCGCCGCUAAUGGCUUCGACUACCCACCGCUGGUGCUUUUCCUUCUCCGAUGUCUCCUUCUCUAAGGUGCAACAGUUGAUGACACCAGCAUCAAAGCAGCAGAGGAGAGUGCUCAUGCUAACACGCAAGGAACUGCUAGGGAUACGCUCAUUAGCACGAGAGCGCACGCACCCAGGCCUAACCCCCAGCAGUGCGGGAAAAAAAAAUUUAAAACAAGCCUGUUUGGAAAUAUAUUUUCUGUAGCUUUUUAUUUUACAUGGGGAAACUAACAACACAGGCUGCCCCUAAAGUGCAAAAGCAGAACAGAAUAUUUUACUGCAAACAGCAGGCAGUUUUUGAGCUCAUGAGAUUAAAAUGCAUAAUCAGGAUUCAAGUAAAGAGACUGGACCUAUCCAGAUAAUGAGAACAACCAGAAUUACAUUAGAAGGUUGUUUUUAAAAUCCCUUGGAAGGGCUACAAUGUGGUCUAGUGGCUAGAGCAGCGGACUGGCGAGCAGAGAGUUAUUCUCAGCACUACCACUGGCCUGCUGGGUGACCUUGGGCAAGUCACUUCCACUGCCCCGUGCCUCGGUUUCCCCAGCUGUAAAGGGGGUAAUGAAGCAGACCUGCCAUUGUAACCGCUUUGAGAUUUACGGAUGAAGAGAGCUAGCUAUUUUUUAAAUGCUCCUGCUUCAAGGCAUAAGCUAACAGAGGGGUCAGGAGGAAAUGUCUCCUAUAGGGAGGUUAUUCCAGUAUUGGCCACUGGGGGUAUCCUUGACCCCUCCUCCAGAAUGAGCGGGACUUGGCCAUUCCUGGACACAGAACAAGAUGGGCUUCUGGGCUGGCACUUCCUCCGGCUCUGUCCAUUUAGGUAGGGGGACCAGAUGUCCCAUUUUUAUAGGAACAGUGUUCUUUUUUGGGACUUUUUCUUAUAUAGACACCUAUUACCCCCCCACCCUGUUUUUUCCACAGGUGCUGUCUGGUCACCCUACAUUUAGAUCUUUACACCACACUCCUUGCUGAAUUUACGGGCACUCCAGUUUGGAAGUGGGACACAGCACAGGCAUCAGGCCUCAGCCACAGGCAUUGCAAGAUCUGGCGGCAGAUUCGAUCGGCGUUCAUGAUUUGCGCUUUUCAGCUACUGGCAUGUUUGUAGCCAGGGCAUCGUUUUGGGUGCACGGAGGGCACCGGCAUCCCCAAGACUUGAGUUUAUGACCCUACUUCUUGGUAUUUAGAAAGAAGAGUUUAAAAACAAAAAAAAAACCACAGGGACAUCAAUCAGACCAGGGAUCAUCCCGCCUCGUGUCCUGUGUCCAACACGGGGCGGUAUCAGCUGCUUCAGAGGAAGGUGCAGAAGGUUGCUGUGGAAUAACCUGCCCCGGGGACAAGGAAGAAAUGUUCCCUGUUCCCGUCAGAGUGAGACGUUCUUCCUGACCCCAUUAAUCAGCAUUUGGCUCGUGGCCUGAGGCGGAAAGGGUUUAAAUAUAGAGACUCUUGUAUUUUAGAAGACUUUACUAUUCUAACUUGGCAUUUCCUUGUUCUCUAGCUAAAUGUCCAGUCCUUCCUUUGAGUCCUGCUCAGCUCUUGGCUUCAGCGAGGUCUUGUGGCAAUGAGUUCCCCUGACUAAGCAGGUACUGCCUGGGGAAGAAUAUUCUGCUGUGUCACUUUUAAAGUAUCCUGCUUUUGAAUUUCA
Long non-coding RNA from Mauremys reevesii (Reeves's turtle), 2697 nucleotides. RefSeq lists it as uncharacterized. The transcript is spliced from 3 exons. The record is from RefSeq and is a predicted model, not a curated record. NCBI's taxonomy places the organism in Eukaryota, Metazoa, Chordata, Testudines, Geoemydidae.